This 49-nucleotide ribosomal RNA is filed under the name Zoanthus sansibaricus. RNAcentral describes it as "partial 18S ribosomal RNA". The record is from RNAcentral. Lineage: Eukaryota; Metazoa; Cnidaria; Anthozoa; Zoantharia; Zoanthidae.
AAAAGUGGUANCGACAGGUUUCCGUAGGUGACCUGCGGAAGGAUCAUUA